Molecule: ribosomal RNA, 253 nt
Filed under: uncultured bacterium
Lineage: Bacteria
Description: partial 16S ribosomal RNA
Rfam family: Bacterial small subunit ribosomal RNA
Source: RNAcentral
UACGAAGGGUACAAGCGUUACUCGGAAUUACUGGGCGUAAAGCGUGCGUAGGUGGUUCGUUAAGUCUGAUGUGAAAGCCCUGGGCUCAACCUGGGAAUGGCAUUGGAAACUGGCGACCUAGAGUGCGGUAGAGGGUAGUGGAAUUCCCGGUGUAGCAGUGAAAUGCGUAGAGAUCGGGAGGAACAUCUGUGGCGAAGGCGACUGCCUGGACCAGCACUGACACUGAGGCACGAAAGCGUGGGGAGCAAACAGG